This 253-nucleotide ribosomal RNA is filed under the name uncultured bacterium. Its description in RNAcentral is "partial 16S ribosomal RNA". It matches the Rfam family "Bacterial small subunit ribosomal RNA", at positions 524 to 776 of the family's 1533-position model. The record is from RNAcentral.
UACGGGGGGGGCAAGCGUUGUUCGGAAUUACUGGGCGUAAAGGGCUCGUAGGUGGCCAACUAAGUCAUGCGUGAAAUCCCUCGGCUUAACCGGGGAACUGCGUCUGAUACUGGAUGGCUUGAGUUUGGGAGAGGGAUGCGGAAUUCCAGGUGUAGCGGUGAAAUGCGCAGAUAUCAGGAAGAACACCCGUGGCUAAGGCGGCUCUCUAGUACGGUACUGACGCUGAGACGCGAAAGCGUGGGGAGCGAACAGG